Molecule: long non-coding RNA, 686 nt
Filed under: Homo sapiens (human)
Lineage: Eukaryota; Metazoa; Chordata; Mammalia; Primates; Hominidae
Description: PEF1 and COL16A1 antisense RNA 1
Source: RNAcentral
GGUGGGCGGAUGCCUACCCGAGAGACCAGGGGAGCUAAGUGAUUGAUGGAGCUUCCGGAAGUCUUGGCGGCUGUACCAGCGCUAAUGUUCCUCCUUUUCCUGAGGUGGAGUGGGCCGAAGAGGUGGUCAGGUAUUCUAAUCACAGAAUUACUGGAGCAUCAAGAAGUGCCUGCAUGCUUGGAAGGGCUUCCAGGCAGAUGAACACACCUCAGCACCGGGUGGCAUUUUCCCAGGGUGCAACCCGGACCGGCUCUGGGUCACACUGACAAGGACAACAGGGUUAACAAUUUCCAGAGACAGCCCGUACAUAGAAGGAAUGUUUACUGAAAAAAAUGAAGAGGGGUCAGGGCAAGGCGAGGAGCAAGAAGCACCCCCAAGGAAACAGAGAAGACCAGUACAACUGUACCUCUUUGCCAGCUGCACCAUCCGUACCAGGUGGCACGUUCCAGAGCCAUAGCCUCUGUUCUAUUCAUCUCCAGUCUCCUGGGGUGGAAGUGUCCAGCACAGAGACUGCCACACUGCAAGACGAAGGGGCUGGACACACGGAAGAGAGAGGCGGAACCCUGCACCCCCUCAACCUCAGCCCUACUGAGUCUCCAAUGGGGCCACGCUUCUGAGUGCACCUCCCCGUGUCAUCUGUAAUGUGAGGGGGAACCAGGCUUGAUAUGGCAUUCCCAAUCCAGGGC